AGCACCCAGUAGAGCUGCCCAGCCCUGGCAGCAGUGGGUGUGCUCACCUGGCUUUGAGUUCAGGCAGAUUUUGUCAUUGACACGGAGGAGAAAUCAGAUCUCCUUCAGUAAGCAGAGUAAUUAAAAAAAUGGGUCAAAAUAGAAUGGAAGUGAUAUUAUAAAGACGGAAGCUUAAGCAAGGCUUGUCCUACCGACGUUACUGGGGGUACUGGGAGGAAAUCAGGCAGCAAUAGAACUUUACCUAACUAGUGUUGCUAAAGUAAUUGGUUUCUGAUCUAGCGAGCGUUUUGAUAAUACACGUCUAUGAGAUGCUCUGCCUCCAUAGCUUAAAAAACGCUGACGAUGUUUUCCUAUUUGAGAGUUAUCUACAGAUGUCUUUAUUACACUGCUUCUCAAGCAUCUACUGACAAACAUCAGAGAAACACGUUAGAUGCUACAAUUUAAACUUUCAUCAUACCUGAAAGUAUACAUUUCUUUUUAAAGUGUAUUUUCAACAUGAAAAGAGCUAAAAAAUCACCGUUAAUAUUCCAUUGUGUGAUGUGUGUGAAAUCAAGACAAUUUGCAUAACUUCCAAAGGGAACCUCUGGAAAACAGCACUUUCGUUAUCAGUUAGAGAAGGUCUCUGCCUUUGCUGGCACAGCGUGGCGAAGAGGUACUCGAUGCAUCUUCUUGCUCUAGAAAGCUGCUUCUGGAAAAUUGCAGAUUGCAAGCAGUUUAUAAAUCACAAGCCGUUUUUUCCUUAAUCUUGCCAAUUUUAAUGAAGAAAAAACAUUUGCAUUUCAAUGUACAAAAGUCCAAUAAAACACUUCGUUUGGUUUUUUUUUUUUUUUUUUUUUGCUUUGUGACUGCUGGGUAAGGGUUGGGGCAAACUUAUUUAACAGGAAAAGUCUUCCAAUUCCCACUGUGAGCAACUUGGUGCUGAUUUGACUAGAGGAUAACGACCACCCAGAAAUAAAUAGCUAUAAAUACAUUCAUUGUUCCUAUCUCAAAAAUUAUCCACAUAGGGAAGACACAAAAUUGAAGUUAACUUAUUUGAAUCCAUUUCUUUACAAUGGGACGGGGCCGAGGUGUAGCAGAGUGACUCAGAACGGGGGGAGAGGAGGGGGGAAAUAGGGCAUAAAUUGGUCCAGUAUUGACAUUCAUGAAACAUACCAGUUAAUAGAAUUCCGCCGUUAAUUCAACCUUUAAAUGACUCUACUCAGUUGAUUUUUAUUUGCUUCAGGUAUACAUAAUGAAAGCAGUUUCCUUUGCAUCUUUGCUGAGGACAGGUAUAGUGGUACCCUGGAGACACUGUAACAACCCCCUUCAGUAUGCAUGUGCGUAUAUAUAAUUAUAUACAAAUAAUCAUGCAUCCACACACACAUUUGUAAUGCGACACUGCAUGUGACGGUUAAAUCCAUCAUCAUUCAUCAUUGGCAGCACUUGUUCCUCUGACUUGGCCUUGAUUACGUAACGCUUCCAGCUCCUUUUGAGUCUCAUCCUCCAUCCUCCUGAUGUCUUCCAUAGUCAGAUCGAUCCACUUGUCAAUCCAACAGAACAGCUGGCGAUGGAAGUUGGUAAAUAUCCUUUUUUCUUGCUUCUGUAUAAGGUUUUCCACUUUGUUCUGCAGUCCCCACCAUUUAAAUUUAAUCGUCACCAACUUGUAAGCACACAUCUUAGGGCACUCUUCAUCAGUUGCUAGCUCUUUCUUCCAGUUUGGCCCCAAAGGUCCUCUCUUAGUCUUAACUGACUGGAAUAACGCAGGGUCUUCAUCAGCUUUGUAGUCUCCUGGUUCUACUUGAGUUCUAUCUGCAAUGUCAAUAUGGACAACUUCAACACUCUUCCACGUGUUCGGAUCUAAAUUGUGCACGUUCUCUGAUGUCCCCAGAUCGGGUUUGUGCCAGGUCUCGAUUUUUAUGAAGAAGUCAUCUUUCAUGUACUCAUUCGUCACAAUUGUUCUACAGUAUGGAUAUGCAUUCCAGGCCUUCUCGUGGAACACCAGGGAGCCUUCUGGAGCAAUCAUUCUUACAAAACCAGGAACUUUACUCUUUAAAUGAUAGAUUUUGUGAGUAUAUUGUCCCUUCUCAUCGUCUUUUUCGUAAGGCUCGUUUAUUAAGACUUGAAUUCCUUCACCGCCUCCUGUUUCAUUUUUGCUAGCUUCUGCCACCGAAUAAAGUUGACCAACUUGAUACUCUUGCACCGAACAUGGCAAAACAACUCGGAAUUCCUUGAUCAGCACCAUCUUCCCCGCACCGUCCCG
This 2239-nucleotide long non-coding RNA is filed under the name Gallus gallus (chicken). Lineage: Eukaryota; Metazoa; Chordata; Aves; Galliformes; Phasianidae. The record is from RNAcentral.